This 1933-nucleotide unclassified non-coding RNA is filed under the name Hevea brasiliensis (rubber tree). Lineage: Eukaryota; Viridiplantae; Streptophyta; Magnoliopsida; Malpighiales; Euphorbiaceae. The record is from RNAcentral.
CUCCAAAUUAUGACACUUAUCAACGUGCUAAUAGCAAGUGGUAUAAAUAAAUCCAUUCAGGAACUCCAAGAACUGAAUUAAAACCCAAAAAUGCAAAAUGUAUGAGAAUGCCAUAUUACAAACUUUAUAGCUUGUCUACAUCACUGUCUGCAAAUCAAGUCUGUAUAUAUAAAUAAAACUAACACUGGAGAAAGUAUCUUGUGUCUUACUUGUAUCAGAAGGAAAAAGUUGAUCACGAAGACCAGCAUUGACCCCCCAGCUGAUAUUGCCUCAAUGAUGAGGCCUUAAUGCGAUGAAAUGAGACACCAUUUUCAAUUUUAGUGUAGCAAGAUAGAGAUAAAGAUAUAGAUCCCAAAUCCGAGAAUUUAAAGUAUAUCAGCACAAUAAUUGUCCCUAGACCAUGCUGGCUGAGUAUAUAGAUAGGCUGCUUGAAAUUAUUAAACUAUAGCCAUGGAGAGACAUUAUGAAUCUGGAUUUUCUUCUUCAUCAGGCUGCCUUGCGUUGCUACUUUGAUGAGAAUGACCAAACCAAGGAUUUACAUUCAAUGAGAGAUUCUUCAUUGGCAGGCUUGUUGCACGAGAACUUGGCAGGAUAUGUUGUGAACCUGAGCUCAACAACUGAACAUGGUUGAUUUCCCUCGACUCAUUCUCCAAGGGGGUGGUUGCAUAAGGAGGAUAUUGCGGGAAGAGUGAUGACAUUGUCGCUGGUGGACAGAAAAAGAAUUGAGAAGCAGAGGAGAAAGGUAAUGAUGAUGAUGAUGGCAAUGAACCAGUAUUGUUGCCGUUGAGGGAACUUUCUGUCUGUGGUAGAAAUCCAUGGGAUGGAAAUUGAUGAGAUAAGGAUAAAUUUGAAGCAUCCCAAUGGUAGUAGGGGUUGAAGGGCAAGGGAUUGUUUGGCAAGCCAGGUAAAGAAGAAUGACUACUACUGGUUAGAGGAAAGAACUUUUGAGCUGAGACUUGUUCAGUAGCAAUGUAAUUGCAAAACCCAUCUUGAUUUUCUUGUUCAUUUGUUUUAAUCCACUUUCCUUUCCCAGCAAUUCUUUCAACUUCGUUACUUCUACCUGAUCUCAAUGAAGCUUCAGCUGCCUCCCAAUACUUAGAUUUUGCCACUGUUUCUUGGUGAUCCUCUCCAUCAAGACUACUAUUGAUAUUUAUCCCUAGGGAGUAAAAUCCCCCAUCUUUAUUGAAUGCCGAGUUCACAUCAAAUAAAUUAGGAACAAGAGAUGAAUUUGGCUCAUGAGAAAGUAGCAUCUGAUGAGGAUGGAAUUGGCCAAAUCCAUGGGGCAUCACGAGAGGUGGAAGCUUAUCAAUAUCAUUUUUAGUGGCAUCAAGCAACCAAUCUAUUACCUUGCUAGGCUGAGUCAGCCCAAGCCUAUCUUGAAGUUCAUAUAACUGAAUGGCUGUGGGUACAGAAAGCCUGAUUCGCCUGUCCCUCAAUCCCUUCACAGUGCAAACCUUGCUAUGCCUAUCUUUUCUUCCAAAAGAUCGCGACACUCGCACAAUUCUUGGAUUCCUAAAUGCUGACCAUUGCCUUGAAGAAGUAGAUGGUACUGCCUUGGCGAGUUUGUUGUCAUAGGCUGCAUCCCCCUCUUGCUUUGCUUGAAAACCUUUUUCUCUUGAACUUCUAGUCGUCAUCUUAUUACAGCUCUCAUUAUUGAGUUUCAAGGUCUAAACUGAACAUCAGGCAGAAAAUUUUAGGCUUCUUGCAACUGAAAGAUUUUGCUUAACUUGGCUGAUCUGAAGGAGGAACAGUAGUUGAAGUAGAAGGCAGAAAAGGCAAUAACAUCAAGAAAGUCCUAAUCAUGUCUACUGUUUUCAAUUUAAAUGACCCUGUAUAGAGAAGGUCUAAAGUUUACAUCAAAUUUAUUUGAAAAGAAUAUCUAUUUAAAGAUAUUCAUAAUUUUGGGAAAGAAAUUUAGUUAUGGAUGCCAGAA